UAGUGGAGGUUAUCAGGGAGACAGGUGGUGCGAUGGUUGUCGUCAGCUCGUGUCGUGAGAUGUUGGGUUAAAGUCCCGCAACGAGCGCAACCCUUAUUGCUAGUUACCAUCAUUCAGUUGGGGACUCUAGCGAGACUGCCAGUGAUAAACUGGAGGAAGGUGGGGAUGACGUCAAAUCAUCAUGCCCCUUAUGACCUGGGCUACAAACGUGAUACAAUGGCUGAAACAAAGGGCAGCGAAGCAGUGAUGUGGAGCGAAACCCAAAAAAGCAGUCUCAGUUCGGAUUGAAGUCUGCAACUCGACUUCAUGAAGUCGGAAUCGCUAGUAAUCGCGGAUCAGAACGCCGCGGUGAAUACGUUCUCGGGGUUU
Molecule: ribosomal RNA, 369 nt
Filed under: uncultured Acholeplasma sp.
Lineage: Bacteria; Bacillati; Mycoplasmatota; Mollicutes; Acholeplasmatales; Acholeplasmataceae
Description: bacterial SSU rRNA
Rfam family: Bacterial small subunit ribosomal RNA
Source: RNAcentral